This 1615-nucleotide ribosomal RNA is filed under the name Salmonella enterica. RNAcentral's name for it is "partial 23S ribosomal RNA". It matches the Rfam family "Bacterial large subunit ribosomal RNA", at positions 694 to 2290 of the family's 2925-position model. The record is from RNAcentral. RNAcentral also lists the same sequence under 1 other name. Lineage: Bacteria; Pseudomonadati; Pseudomonadota; Gammaproteobacteria; Enterobacterales; Enterobacteriaceae.
GUUAAGUUGCAGGGUAUAGACCCGAAACCCGGUGAUCUAGCCAUGGGCAGGUUGAAGGUUGGGUAACACUAACUGGAGGACCGAACCGACUAAUGUUGAAAAAUUAGCGGAUGACCUGUGGCUGGGGGUGAAAGGCCAAUCAAACCGGGAGAUAGCUGGUUCUCCCCGAAAGCUAUUUAGGUAGCGCCUCGUGAAUUCAUCUCCGGGGGUAGAGCACUGUUUCGGCUAGGGGGCCAUCCCGGCUUACCAACCCGAUGCAAACUGCGAAUACCGGAGAAUGUUAUCACGGGAGACACACGGCGGGUGCUAACGUCCGUCGUGAAGAGGGAAACAACCCAGACCGCCAGCUAAGGUCCCAAAGUCAUGGUUAAGUGGGAAACGAUGUGGGAAGGCCCAGACAGCCAGGAUGUUGGCUUAGAAGCAGCCAUCAUUUAAAGAAAGCGUAAUAGCUCACUGGUCGAGUCGGCCUGCGCGGAAGAUGUAACGGGGCUAAACCAUGCACCGAAGCUGCGGCAGCGACACUGUGUGUUGUUGGGUAGGGGAGCGUUCUGUAAGCCUGUGAAGGUGUGUCGUGAGGCAUGCUGGAGGUAUCAGAAGUGCGAAUGCUGACAUAAGUAACGAUAAAGCGGGUGAAAAGCCCGCUCGCCGGAAGACCAAGGGUUCCUGUCCAACGUUAAUCGGGGCAGGGUGAGUCGACCCCUAAGGCGAGGCCGAAAGGCGUAGUCGAUGGGAAACGGGUUAAUAUUCCCGUACUUGGUGUUACUGCGAAGGGGGGACGGAGAAGGCUAUGUUGGCCGGGCGACGGUUGUCCCGGUUUAAGCGUGUAGGUGUGUGUUCCAGGUAAAUCCGGUUCACUUUAACACUGAGGCGUGACGACGAGGCACUACGGUGCUGAAGCAACAAAUGCCCUGCUUCCAGGAAAAGCCUCUAAGCAUCAGGUAACAUCAAAUCGUACCCCAAACCGACACAGGUGGUCAGGUAGAGAAUACCAAGGCGCUUGAGAGAACUCGGGUGAAGGAACUAGGCAAAAUGGUGCCGUAACUUCGGGAGAAGGCACGCUGACACGUAGGUGAAGUGAUUUACUCAUGGAGCUGAAGUCAGUCGAAGAUACCAGCUGGCUGCAACUGUUUAUUAAAAACACAGCACUGUGCAAACACGAAAGUGGACGUAUACGGUGUGACGCCUGCCCGGUGCCGGAAGGUUAAUUGAUGGGGUCAGCGCAAGCGAAGCUCCUGAUCGAAGCCCCGGUAAACGGCGGCCGUAACUAUAACGGUCCUAAGGUAGCGAAAUUCCUUGUCGGGUAAGUUCCGACCUGCACGAAUGGCGUAAUGAUGGCCAGGCUGUCUCCACCCGAGACUCAGUGAAAUUGAACUCGCUGUGAAGAUGCAGUGUACCCGCGGCAAGACGGAAAGACCCCGUGAACCUUUACUAUAGCUUGACACUGAACAUUGAGCCUUGAUGUGUAGGAUAGGUGGGAGGCUUUGAAGUGUGGACGCCAGUCUGCAUGGAGCCGACCUUGAAAUACCACCCUUUAAUGUUUGAUGUUCUAACGUGGACCCGUUACCCGGGUUGCGGACAGUGUCUGGUGGGUAGUUUGACUGGGGCGGUCUCCUCC